GGAAUUUGUUGGUUUGAUACUCCUAUGCCAUCUUGCAAUUUUUUUACAUCAGUGCAGUGCAGUACAUAUAUGCUGUAGUCAUAGUUCAUAUUUAUGAUUGAUCAUCAACAUGCUAUUUUACAAAAGGAACUUGCAACAGAUUUUAUCAAAACAAAUUUAGCCACUAUUCCAGAAAUUAUAGAUCAAUCUACACAAAAUGAUCCAAAUUUUGAUAGAGGUUUAAAGGCAGAAAGAAGUGUCAUGGAUGCAAUGUCUUGCUAUCGACAAUUGCUUGCUGAACAAAAGAGGAAAAGGCAAACAACAUUAGAUGAC
This 312-nucleotide long non-coding RNA is filed under the name Androctonus crassicauda. Lineage: Eukaryota; Metazoa; Arthropoda; Arachnida; Scorpiones; Buthidae. The record is from RNAcentral.